Mastomys coucha (southern multimammate mouse) is the source of this 758-nucleotide long non-coding RNA. RefSeq lists it as uncharacterized. The record is from RefSeq and is a predicted model, not a curated record. Lineage: Eukaryota; Metazoa; Chordata; Mammalia; Rodentia; Muridae. The transcript has 4 exons.
UCUGACAGACUUAUCACCAAGGUACUCACUACACAGUUUCAUGGCUAGGAAGUGGGCUAUGGCCCCUGGAGGUACAUGAUAUGAACAGCAAACAGUGGGACAUAGUUUCACUUUCCAGUUUCAUGGAACAGAUAAAUUCAGAUUUCUAGUGGCCCAGCUAGUACAUAUUUCUCCAGAGAAUCUGGCCUGACCACAGUAUUAUCGAGGCAGACACCCAAGGCUGAAGAGCAUCGUCCUCCAGAGACAUGGGGGGUGCUUUAGUUCCUCUGGAGCUAACAUCCUCUGCUAUGUGAGCACUUGCCAGAGCGCUGAGAAGGAACUGAAAAGCUUCCUGAGAUGGGCCCGGUAGUAAUGUGAUUCUGACCUCUGGACAUCUGGAAUCACCACUUUUCCUUGUGAUGCGUUCGAGUACAUAUAGAUGACACAGGACAAUCUUCCAUGUGACAGCAAUACCCUCAUCUAUAUCUGCGUGUUAUGUUAAUACGAAAGAGAAGCAUAGUAGGGAAGGGAGAAGAUGGAGCAGGCUGACCACUAAAUACGGGCAGGGGAAGGCAAGAAGAAACAGUUUUGUCUUAGCUCAAGGACAAGUGGAGCUGGUGUGUUCUGUGCUGACGGAUGAGCAUUGGGAGCAGAAAACAACUGGAGCACGCUAGCGGCUGCCAAGCAUUGCUACCCUUCAAAGAGGCUGAAUGAGAUGCCUCUGGCUGGUGUCCAGGGUGAAAUGUGACUCUUGAACAUGACAAAAACUAACGACAAAA